CACACAAUUACAAGAGUAAAUAAUCAUUACCCAUUUACAGCCAUUCACCAUCCUAAUUGGGAAACCAAAUAGACCCUUGAUUGAACUCAAUUGUCAGUUAUGUAUCCAAAUGCAACCUAAGCUAUUUCAUUCUCGAUCUAUUAAAUGCUCAUCUGUUUACACAAAACUUACAUGAAUUCACUGAACAUAUCAAGUGAUUUUGUUCUCCAAUGCAUCUUGCGCGGGUCCGGAUGAAGAUGGCGUGUGUUACAUGGUUCUAUGUCAAGUUAUCACAGGAAAUAUGGAGGAAAUCUUGGUGGGGUCUUGGCAAUUUUUGCUCAGCAAUGAAGAAUUUAACAAUGGUGUUGAUAGUUCGAGAGAUCCAACACACUACGUUGUUUGGAGCAUCAACAUGAAUACAUACAUUCUCCCUGAAUAUGUUGUAAGCUUCGGAGUUUUAGAGUAGUUGGAAGAUAGAAGAAAGCUUCAAGAGACGGGGGCUGUUCUGACAUGUCCUGGUUCUCCGGGAGACAUCUCAAUACCUGUUUGAGUACUCAUGUUCAACCAGUAUAAUCCAUUCCACAUUUUCAAAUUAUCUUUUGUAGUAAUGUUUUCCAAAAUCUACUACCAUCUAUUAGUGGUGGGUGGGAUUCCCAUGAGCAUUCAAAAUAGGAUUCAUGCCUCCUAAACCUCAGAAUGGUUUGGGAAUUCUAUUUUGGAUGUGCCUACGGGUCCCAUCUACUACCAAUGGAUGGUGGGACAUUUUGGAACGCAGUCUCUAGCAUUCCCGUUGUCAGACAGUCUUUUCCAUAUUAUUGUACAUAGCAUGCCCUUUUUGUAUGAAAUGGUUUAUUACGGUAUCUAGGUUCCUCCUCUGGUGCUCCCCCUUCCAGCCUUCCUUCAAGGACAGAGCAUGGCAGGACAUCCCCAUCCCAGAAUGGUAUUAGCAUGGCAGAAUUUUUCUCAUUACAAUACCAAACAUAUUGUACCAGGCAUAAUUCUCAGCAAUGAGAGGAAGCCUUCCUCAAAGUAGUUUUGGAACAUUGGAAAACAUAUAAUGAUGCACUGGUAAUUCAUCGUAAGGCUACUAGGUGUUUAUUUGUUAUGCAAUUUUACAUAAAGGAUAUACCGUAUGAUCCUGAUUUCACUAUAAUUUCCAGGUUGGGAAAAUUAGAUUACACGACCUUGUUAGAACAAUAAGGUUGGUAGAGAUGAAUUACUUUUUGCGACCGUCAAAGCAUGCUGGACAGGUAUAACCUUUAAGCUCCUUUUGUCCUAAAUGAUAGUUCAAUUGGGCGUCAUUGGAACCUUUUGUUUGGAUUUGUCAACAUCAGACGUGGGGACUGACACAAGCCACACAAACAUGUGGAGAAGAGCUGUUUGAUAACAUCCUUGGUGUUUUAUUCAUUGCUUGAGUUGCAUUUCCACUGUUGUUAUAUUAAUUUCUACAAAGAGAACAUCAAACUUCCUUGCAUUUGGAUUUAAAUGAAGGAUAUAGUGCAGACAUUCGUUUUCAUCCAAAGCCACACUUCUUUUGAGAAGGCGGUCAGUACCACUGAUUAUUUAUUGAUCAAUAAACUCCAUUUGCAACUUGUUACUGAAGAAA
This is a long non-coding RNA of Magnolia sinica, 1585 nucleotides long. RefSeq lists it as uncharacterized. NCBI's taxonomy places the organism in Eukaryota, Viridiplantae, Streptophyta, Magnoliopsida, Magnoliales, Magnoliaceae. The transcript has 2 exons. The record is from RefSeq and is a predicted model, not a curated record.